This 305-nucleotide unclassified non-coding RNA is filed under the name plant metagenome. Its description in RNAcentral is "partial contains 5.8S ribosomal RNA, internal transcribed spacer 2, and large subunit ribosomal RNA". The stretch from base 1 to 105 matches the Rfam family "5.8S ribosomal RNA", at positions 50 to 154 of the family's 154-position model. The record is from RNAcentral.
GAAAUGCGAUAAGUAAUGUGAAUUGCAGAAUUCAGUGAAUCAUCGAAUCUUUGAACGCACAUUGCGCCCGCCAGUAUUCUGGCGGGCAUGCCUGUUCGAGCGUCAUUUCAACCAUCAAGCCCCCGGCUUGUGUUGGGGACCUGCGGCUGCCCGCAGGCCCUGAAAAACAGUGGCGGGCUCGCUGUCACACCGAGCGUAGUAGCAUACAUUCUCGCUCAGGGCGUGCUGCGGGUUCCGGCCGUUAAACGACGUUCAUAACCCAAGGUUGACCUCGGAUCAGGUAGGAAGACCCGCUGAACUUAAGC